This is a long non-coding RNA of Meriones unguiculatus (Mongolian gerbil), 1245 nucleotides long. RefSeq lists it as uncharacterized. The record is from RefSeq and is a predicted model, not a curated record. NCBI's taxonomy places the organism in Eukaryota, Metazoa, Chordata, Mammalia, Rodentia, Muridae. The transcript has 4 exons.
CCGGGGACACAAUGUAAACAGUGCGGGCAGAAUGCCUUAGCCGCGCUCACCCUGCUUCCUCGACGUUUCGCGAAGAGAUCAGAGGUGGAGUGGGCCACCGCGGCCCGGGAUACUUCCCUCGAUGCCCUCGGGUGCAAGCCACAGUUUAAAGAUUUGGGCUGGAGCUUGUGUCUGUGUCAGCAGCCAAAAUAAUGCUAGGCGUCGUCUUGUGAAGGUUUCGGGAUUCCGAAAGCGUUAGUCACCUCUUCCUCAAACAAUAAGAAGCAAAAGCAAGAAGACAUAAUUCCUACAGAAAGAACUAGGCUGUGUCGCCACCAUGAGCUGAACAAGAUGACCACUUCUGGAGCAGAUAACUGUGGAUAGUGGCCCUCUGUCCUCUGAGAGUCAUCAGUGACUGGAAUCCAUGGAGUUACUUAUCUCUGCCUUCACCCUUGAAAAGAUUGGAUAGACAGAUAACCCUUGAGUGAUUGACAUGCCUAAAUACAGAGAUUCUUUUAGAUUGUUUGUUGGCACAGCUGUCAGCUUGACACAAACCUAGACAGAGGCAAGUGGGAACUCCAUUGAGGAACUGCUUCCAUCCGCCUGGGCAUGACCAUGGGGCGUUUUCGUAAUUGCUGGAUGAUGUGGGUAAGCCAGGGCCACUGUGGGAGUCCCAUCCCUGCACAAGCGCACCCCGGCCGUAGAAGAAAAGCAGCUGAGCAAGCCGGGAGCAGCAUUCCUCCACCAUCUCGGCUUCACUUCCUGCUCCUGGUUUCUACCUUGAGUUUCUGCAUUGGCUCCUUCAGGGCAGGACUGUACUCUGCCAGCCAAAUAAACCCCUCCCUCCCCGCACUGCCUUUGUGAGUGUUUAAUCACGGCAGUGAAAAGCAGACGAGGACACCACCACCCAGUUCCGCCGUGAGGAAUUUUUAGCGUAUGUACUGCACCUGAGAGAAAUAUCUAUAAGAUAAUUUUCUUUGUUUAUUUGUUUUAAAACUCACUGAUGUGAGGAUGUGCAUGUAUAGUUGUGUUGACACACAUGUGCCAUGGGCACAUUUGUGGAGGUCAAAGGACCACUUAUUGAGACAGUAUGUCUCUGUGUAGCCCUGGCUGUCCUGGGAUUCCCUAUGUACACCCACCUGCCUCUGCUGGGAUUAAAGGCAUGCACUCCCUCGCUCAGCUAUAAGGCCAUCCUUGAGAGUCAGUUUUCCCUUUGAUAUCAACGUCAAAAGUCUUGGCAGCAAGCACUUUUGCCCAUGAACCAUU